UUUCCGUAGGUGAACCUGCGGAAGGAUCAUUGUGGAAUUUUAUUUGAACCGUUGUGAAGUUGUAUAAAUACCUUUCGAAACCUUGGUUUUUGUUUCGCCGCUGUUUCGAUGGGUUCCAUUUGCUACCUUCAUCUCGCCAAAUUGGAAGUGAGAAGUCGAGUAGAAAUUAAAGAACGGUGCGGUUUGCACCAAGGACAAUUGUUGGAGUGCAUUGCCAUCAUUUUGAUGUGUUUAUUACUCUAUAGGUAUAUGAUUUCGAAUGACUCCUGGCAAUGGAUAUCUUGGCUCUC
Molecule: unclassified non-coding RNA, 290 nt
Filed under: root metagenome
Description: partial contains small subunit ribosomal RNA, internal transcribed spacer 1, and 5.8S ribosomal RNA
Source: RNAcentral